RNAcentral lists this ribosomal RNA (737 nucleotides) under Candidatus Synechococcus spongiarum. RNAcentral describes it as "bacterial SSU rRNA". It matches the Rfam family "Bacterial small subunit ribosomal RNA", at positions 796 to 1533 of the family's 1533-position model. The record is from RNAcentral. Lineage: Bacteria; Bacillati; Cyanobacteriota; Cyanophyceae; Synechococcales; Synechococcaceae.
CUGGCCGUAAACGAUGAACACUAGAUGUUGGGGGAAUCGACCCCCUCGGUGUCGUAGCUAACGCGUUAAGUGUUCCGCCUGGGGAGUACGCACGCAAGUGUGAAACUCAAAGGAAUUGACGGGGGCCCGCACAAGCGGUGGAGUAUGUGGUUUAAUUCGAUGCAACGCGAAGAACCUUACCAAGGCUUGACAUCCUGCGAAUCUCCAAGAAAUUGGAGAGUGCCUUUUGGAACGCAGUGACAGGUGGUGCAUGGCUGUCGUCAGCUCGUGUCGUGAGAUGUUGGGUUAAGUCCCGCAACGAGCGCAACCCACGUUUUUAGUUGCCAGCAUUCAGUUGGGCACUCUAGAAAGACUGCCGGUGACAAACCGGAGGAAGGUGUGGACGACGUCAAGUCAUCAUGCCCCUUACGCCUUGGGCUACACACGUACUACAAUGCUGCGGACAAAGAGUAGCGAUCUUGCGAAAGUUAGCUAAUCUCGUAAACCGUGGCUCAGUUCAGAUCGUAGGCUGCAACUCGCCUACGUGAAGGAGGAAUCGCUAGUAAUCGCAGGUCAGCAUACUGCGGUGAAUACGUUCCCGGGCCUUGUACACACCGCCCGUCACACCAUGGAAGUUGGCCAUGCCCGAAGUCGUUACUCUAACCUUUUGGAAGAGGGCGCCGAAGGCAGGGCUAAUGACUGGGGUGAAGUCGUAACAAGGUAGCCGUAGCGGAAGCUGCGGCUGGAUCACCUCCUAA